CUGAGAGACAUACAAAGAGAGGCAGAGACAUAGGCAGAGGGAGAAGCAGACUCCUCGCAUGGAGCAUGAUGUGGGACUCCAUCCACGGACCCAGGAUCACACCCCUAGUCAAAGGUAGAUGCUCAACUGCUGAGCCACCCAGGUGUCCCUGCACUCAGAACUUUUUAUCACCUUUCCUAGUGACUCAUAAGGAAACAAAAAUUUUUGAAAACCAAUACUAUCACUCAAUUUCCCCUUUUAAUGCAAACGACUGUAUUUACAUCUCUAUGUUUGUUUAAAAAUAUAAAGACUGUAGCCAAACAGAGAAGAUGUCUAGAGGAAACAGAAGAAGCCAUUUCCAAAAUGAUUUAUUGUAGGUCAAGCAUCCCCAGAGAGAUGCAUAGAACUAGAGUCCCUGUUAGAGCAGAACAGAGUUUGGUUUGUACUGAAGAAACUAUUAUAAUUAAAAAACAGUUUAUUUCUGUUCAUGUCUUUUGCCCAUUUCAUGAUUGGAUUGUUUGUUUCUUUGCUGUUGAGUCUAAUAAGUUCUUUAUAGAUCUUGGAAACUAGCCCUUUAUCUGAUACGUCAUUUGCAAAUAUCUUCUCCCAUUCUGUAGGUUGUCUUUUAGUUUUGUUGACUGUAUCCUUUGCUGUGCAAAAGCUUCUUAUCUUGAUGAAGUCCCAAUAGUUCAUUUUUGCUUUUGUUUCUCUUGCCUUCAUGGAUGUAUCUUGCAAGAAGUUACUGUGUCCUAGUUCAAAAAAGAUGUUGCCUGUGUUCUCCUCUAGAAUUUUGAUGGAAUCUUGUCUCACACUUAGAUCUUUCAUCCAUUUUGAGUUUACCUUUGUGUAUGGUGCAAGGGAGUGGUCUAGUUUCAUUCUUCUGCAUGUGGCUGUCCAAUUUUCCCAGCACCAUUUAUUGAAGAGACUGUCUUUUGUCCAGUGGAUAGUCUUUCCUCCUUUGUCGAAUAUUAGUUGACCAUAAAGUUGAGGGUCCACUUCUGGAUUCUCUAUUCUGUUCCAUUGAUCUAUGUGUCUGUUUUUGUGCCAGUACCACACUGUCUUGAUGACCACAGCUUUGUAGAACAACCUGAAAUCUGGCAUUGUGAUGCCCCCAGCUAUGGUUUUCUUUUUUAAUAUUCCCCUGGCUAUUCGGGAUAUUUUCUGAUUCCACACAAAUCUUAAAAUAAUUUGUUCUAACUCUCUGAAGAAAGUCCAUGGUAUUUUGAUAGGGAUUGCAUUAAACGUGUAAAUUGCCCUGGGUAACAUUAACAGAAAUCUCACAGAGGAAGACAUAGACAUAGCCAACAAGCACAUGAGAAAAUGCUCCAUAUCACUGGCCACCAGGGAAAUACAAAUCAAAACCACAAUGAGAUACCACCUUACACCAGUGAGAAUGGGAAAAAUUAACAAGACAGGAAACAACAAAUGUUGGAGAGGAUGUGGAGAAAGGGGAACGCUCUUGCACUGUUGGUAGGAAUGUGAACCGGUGCAGCCACUCUGGAAAACUGUGUGGAGGUUCCUCAAAGAGUUAAAAAUAGAUCUACCCUACGACCCAGCAAUUGCACUGCUGGGUAUUUACCCAAGAUACAGAUGCAGUGAAACGCUGGGAGACCUACACCCCGAUGUUUCUAGCAGCAAUGUCCACAAUAGCCAAACUGUGAAGGAGCUUCAGUGUCCAUCAAAACAUGAAUGGAUAAAGAAGAUGUGGUUUAUGUAUACAAUGGAAUAUUCCUCAGCCAUUAGAAAUGACAAAAACCCACCAUUUGCUUCAACGUGGAUGGAACUGGAGGGUAUUAUACUGAGUGAAAUAAAUCAAUCGGAGAAGGACAAACAUUAUAUGGUCUCAUUCAUUUGGGGAUUAUAAAAUAUAGUGAAAGGGAAUAAAGGAGAAAGGAGAAAAAAUGAGUGGGAAAUAUCAAAAAGGGAGACAGAACAUGGGACUCCUAACUCUGGGAAACGAACUAGGGGUGGUAGAAAGGGAGGUGGGCGGGGGAUGGGGGUGACUGGGUGACAGGCACUGAGGGGGGCACUUGAUGGGAUGAGCAGUGGGUGUUAUUCUAUAUGUUGGUAAAUUGAACACCAAUAAAAAAUAAAUUUAUAAAUAAAUAAAUAAAUAAAUAAAUAAAUAAAUAAAUAAAUAAAUAAAUAAAGCAAGCUAAGGUAAACUUGAAAAAAAAAAAAACAGUUUACUUUCUAAAGAAGCUUAGAAACCCCUACAGGGAUUAAAGGGGACUCCUGAGCAAAUGUCAAACUGGGGCUAAGACCAAAGAUUUGUCUUUUAAUUCUUAAAUAGAAUAAUUUUUUUAAUUAAAAAAAUGUUUUACCCCAAUUCUAGUCAAGGAAAGUGAUGUAACUCUGCCUUAAAUUUCAAAAUUAAAAUGAAGGAAAGCAGCAAAUGAAAGAAAGAAGAUUCCUAACAGAUUUAAGAAGUCUCAAAGGUAGAUUGGGAAAAGAUUUACAAUCCUUUAUUUCCUCACAUUAUAGACAUCCUUACCUUUUCUCAUGUGAUGUUGCUGACCUCUACUAAAGUUAGAUUUGGCCAUGUGCCUUUUUUGGGUCCACAGGUUGCAUUAGCAGUCAUGAUGCAAAUAGAGACUUUAUGCUUGUGUGAUGCAACUUGGCUUUUUAUGCUAUUGGAAUCCUACCAGGUAGCAAUUCCCUUCCAUUGUGAUCCCCAGAGUGAGGAUAUGAAGCAUCCCUGAAACCAGCUGCAAGCCUAGAAUCCAACCUGGCCCAGCUAAGCCCAGCCUGAAUCAGACAAAGUGGCUUACUGUCAGAUGCCUGAAUGUGAAGAUAAAUAUUUGUUGUAAGCCACAGAUCUUGCAGUUGUUUGUUGCACAGGAAAAAACUAUUAUAAGCUCUUAACUCAAUCACUACCUCUUAGAAGCAAUACUAAGGGAAGAUGAGUAGAUAAAAUGUUCAAAUGUGCACAUUACCCACUAAUGUGAAGAGAUGCAAAUUGAGUAAGUAUACAGGCAGCCUACAAAAGUGCAGAGAGGAAAUCCUCAAGAGAUGAAGCAUUUAUCUGCCCUUAUAAGAGGUCAAGACCUCACAAAAGGAAAAAAAAUAAAACCACCAGGGCUAAAUUAGAGGAUCUCUAAAGCCUGAUCUUCCAUGUUCCUUGAGAGUAGUACAUGUUAAGGCAGAGAACAAGGACUCCAAGAAAAGCUUCCCAAAGCCCCAACAGAAUGUUCCUCCACUGGCCCAGCCACACACCUCCAACUCCACAUGUUCUGGUUAUAUAAAAGCAACAAGAGUGCACAGAAAACAAUAUUCAAUUGUCAGACUACAAGACAAAGACAAACAGGUCCUACAGAGUCUGAGAAAAUUCAUAUACACUACAUUAUAUUGACUAUAAAAAGUGGGCAGAGCUGCUCUUGCCAAACUGGGUCACAAUAAAAAGAAAUAGCAUAGCAGCUAAGCUAACACUAAAGCACAAGAAAAAAAAAAAUUAAGGGGGAUAAAAGGGAAGGAGGAUGGAGGAAAGGAAAGAAAGCGGCAGAUAAAAGACACAAUCAGAAAGAAAAUAUAAUCUAACAUAGAGAAAACAAUUCCCUGUGAGUACUUCUUGUAAAAAAAAAAAAAAAAAAAAAA
This 3573-nucleotide long non-coding RNA is filed under the name Canis lupus familiaris (dog). Its description in RNAcentral is "lncRNA (ENSCAFG00845005409.1)". Lineage: Eukaryota; Metazoa; Chordata; Mammalia; Carnivora; Canidae. The record is from RNAcentral.